Molecule: unclassified non-coding RNA, 352 nt
Filed under: Hevea brasiliensis (rubber tree)
Lineage: Eukaryota; Viridiplantae; Streptophyta; Magnoliopsida; Malpighiales; Euphorbiaceae
Source: RNAcentral
GUGUGUAUGUGUGUGUGUGUUUGUGUUUUUAUUUUUUGAAUUCUAAUCUGGAUCAACGCUUAAUGUUUCAUUAGAAACGUAUUUGCUAAUUUGUUUUUGCUUUCCGUGAUACCUUUUGUUUCCUUGAUAUUUGAUUUAGAUCUCCAUUCUGGACAGUUCUAUGAUUUCGUUGACUUUUGGGCAUUUUGGUGUUAUUUGGUGGAUCCGUACGUUUGACAAUGUGAUUUUAUUGGAAUUGGAUGCUCUUGCGUAUAUUGAUUAUUAUAUUCAAGGCUUAUGUGUGUUUUGAAUUUUGAUAUAGACAUGGAUUGCCUUUUUCCCCAAAUUUUUGGUUAUUAUUUCUGUUGAGUCG